Ixodes scapularis (black-legged tick) is the source of this 382-nucleotide long non-coding RNA. RefSeq lists it as uncharacterized. The record is from RefSeq and is a predicted model, not a curated record. NCBI's taxonomy places the organism in Eukaryota, Metazoa, Arthropoda, Arachnida, Ixodida, Ixodidae. The transcript is spliced from 2 exons.
CAGGAAUCGUUGGAAGCAUCUGUGCACACUGGGCAAACAAAGAUGGCGUCCGCGUAUGAUUUUUAUGCGCACAUGGCUCCAAUCAUACCGAUGGCACGCACGAUAUCUGUUGCAUGGUUACAGUAGAGAUUCAACAAGUCAUGUUUUAUUGCUGCGAGUGCUGAGUAGUGUGGUUAUAAUUACUUCAUUUGGCCUGCCACCUCGUUGGAGCGCGAAGGAUGGAUAACAAAGUUUAAGGGUGCAAGGAGGCAGAGCUGAGCAUGAAUGAGAUGGCGAUCCUGUCAUCAACUGCAUCCAAGUUCCACGAAACAUUGGUCUCAACGUUCAAUCUGUAAUAUUUAGGUAUCCUGCUAGUCAAAAUAAAGCUUUCAUUUGACAUAUA